This 438-nucleotide ribosomal RNA is filed under the name uncultured bacterium. RNAcentral describes it as "bacterial SSU rRNA". It matches the Rfam family "Bacterial small subunit ribosomal RNA", at positions 954 to 1392 of the family's 1533-position model. The record is from RNAcentral.
GCAAAACGCGAAGAACCUUACCCACCUUUGACAUGGCAGGAACUUACCAGAGAUGGUUUGGUGCUCGAAAGAGAACCUGCACACAGGUGCUGCAUGGCUGUCGUCAGCUCGUGUCGUGAGAUGUUGGGUUAAGUCCCGCAACGAGCGCAACCCUUGCCAUUAGUUGCUACAUUCAGUUGAGCACUCUAAUGGGACUGCCGGUGACAAACCGGAGGAAGGUGGGGAUGACGUCAAGUCCUCAUGGCCCUUAUAGGUGGGGCUACACACGUCAUACAAUGGCUGGUACAAAGGGUUGCCAACCCGCGAGGGGGAGCUAAUCCCAUAAAGCCAGUCGUAGUCCGGAUCGCAGUCUGCAACUCGACUGCGUGAAGUCGGAAUCGCUAGUAAUCGUGGAUCAGAAUGUCACGGUGAAUACGUUCCCGGGUCUUGUACACACCG